RNAcentral lists this transfer RNA (71 nucleotides) under Daphnia pulex (common water flea). It matches the Rfam family "tRNA". From Rfam's summary of the family: Transfer RNA (tRNA) molecules are approximately 80 nucleotides in length. Lineage: Eukaryota; Metazoa; Arthropoda; Branchiopoda; Diplostraca; Daphniidae. The record is from Rfam by way of RNAcentral.
GCAUGUGUAGUGUAGUGGUUAUCACGGUUGUCUCGCACAUCAAGUCCUCAGUUCAAUUCUGGGCAGAUGCA